UAUUUCCAUGAAAACGAAUUGCAUACAUAUGGGUUCGUAAUUUGUGUUUUUUUCUAUUUUCCAAAUUAGAUCAAGAGGAAAAUAUUUGACGACGAACCACAAAAUCACAACAAUCUGGUGUCAGAAGUCUAUCCUUAUGUUGACGACGUUGUUAUCCCAACCCAGUGUAGUAAUUUAACACAAGCAACGCCACUAGCAAAUGACGAGGCUAUGCCAAGCUUGCCCCAUGAUACUUAGAAUUGGAUACUGUAUGUGUAUCUUGGAUAUCUCAGUAUUUUGUGUCAUCUGAGGUGGAAGAUACAGCUUCGACAUUUGAUUUGAGCAACUAUGUUUUUUAUGGGGGGAGAGAAUGAUGAUCAUCAUCAUCUUGGUCUACUACCAUUGAAAUGUGGGGAGUGUAGCGAAUAUUAUCUCGGCAUCCGACCCAUACGGAGUGAAACAUAACAUACCAAUGAU
Molecule: long non-coding RNA, 456 nt
Organism: Carya illinoinensis
Lineage: Eukaryota; Viridiplantae; Streptophyta; Magnoliopsida; Fagales; Juglandaceae
Exons: 3
Source: RefSeq, a predicted model, not a curated record